AAGAAAGAAAAAUAAAUAAAUAAACACAAUCUGUUACAGAUUAUUUGAAUGUAGCUUUGGCCAUGGAUGAAGAAGAAUGUAAAAUUGAAGAUCCAGAAAAGCUUGUAUUAUUGCUUUGAGGAUAUGAGUGCUGCAUCAUCACUGAUGGGGUAUUGUUGCUAUUUUCCUGUCGAUUGUUAGCUGAAGAUCCAUUGAGAAGCAGGUCUACUUUCAGGCACUCCUCCCUAUUCUCCUGCCUAAUUUCCUUGAGCAUUGCUGACACGUCUUUCAUUGUAGGCCUAUCAUCAGGACAAGGAUUUACGCAUAGCAAAGCCACUCCUAAGAUCUGCAACAUUUCCUCAAUCUCAGAUUCUGGCCGAGCCCGUAAACUGGGAUCUACCACUUCAAUCCCUCGUCUCCUUUGCCUUACCCAAUCUACAAUGUGAAGCCCAUCUGGUAUGGUUGGAUCAAUUGGUUGCUUCCCAGUUAGUACUUCUAACACCACAACACCAUAGCUAUACACAUCGCUCUUUUCAGUUAUUUUCAUCAUAUAUCCAUACUCUGGAGCGAUGUAACCAUAGGAUCCAGCAAUAGUGGCGGAAGAGCGAGCAAAAUCUCCAUCAUCAACAAGCUUGGCAAGUCCGAAAUCAGCAAUGUGCGGUUCAAAUUCAGGGCCAAUGAGAAUGUUGUUGGCUUUGAUGUCCCUGUGAACAAUUGGAGGAACACAGUCAUGGUGCAAGUAAGCAAGACCUUGUGCUGCCUCCAAGAUGAUUCGGUAUCUCACUUCCCACUCCAAGCAACCCCCACUUUUCUCAUGAAGGAGACUGCCUAAACUCCCAUUGGGCAUAUAGUCAUACAUCAGCAAUCUUGUGUUUCGAUUCCAACAGCAACCCAAGAAUCUGACAAUGUUCUUGUGACGGAUAGAACCAAGGGUUUUUACCUCUGCUGAAAAGGAAUCGGGAACUCCCCCAAUUCCUAACCUGCCAUUUUGACUAUGAUGUGCUGUAGCUAUUGUUGCUGGCCACAGCUUUUUCACUGCAAUGACUUCCCCAUUUUCUAGUUCUGCCCGAUACACAAUUCCUGAACAUCCCUUUCCAAUUACGUUGGCUUCCAGUAGGCAUUUCAGAACUUGUUCUACUGAAAAAUUUAGCUUCUGAAAUGGAAUGAAAUGCCA
RNAcentral lists this unclassified non-coding RNA (1153 nucleotides) under Hevea brasiliensis (rubber tree). Lineage: Eukaryota; Viridiplantae; Streptophyta; Magnoliopsida; Malpighiales; Euphorbiaceae. The record is from RNAcentral.